This 444-nucleotide ribosomal RNA is filed under the name uncultured bacterium. Its description in RNAcentral is "SSU rRNA". It matches the Rfam family "Bacterial small subunit ribosomal RNA", at positions 26 to 518 of the family's 1533-position model. The record is from RNAcentral.
AGAGCGAACGCUGGCGGCAGGCCUAACACAUGCAAGUCGAACGGAUCCUUCGGGAUUAGUGGCAGACGGGUGAGUAACACGUGGGAACGUGCCUUUUGGUUCGGAACAACUCAGGGAAACUUGAGCUAAUACCGGAUGUGCCCUUCGGGGGAAAGAUUUAUCGCCAUUAGAGCGGCCCGCGUCUGAUUAGCUAGUUGGUGAGGUAAAGGCUCACCAAGGCUUCGAUCAGUAGCUGGUCUGAGAGGAUGAUCAGCCACACUGGGACUGAGACACGGCCCAGACUCCUACGGGAGGCAGCAGUGGGGAAUCUUGCGCAAUGGGCGAAAGCCUGACGCAGCCAUGCCGCGUGAAUGAUGAAGGUCUUAGGAUUGUAAAAUUCUUUCGACCGGGAAGAUAAUGACGGUACCGGAGAAGACGCCCGGCUAACUUCGUGCCAGCAGCCGC